UUCACCCUAGGCUUUGCGGAGCGCGUUGGAGCGUGAUUUGUUUGCGCUUGUUGCGAUUUGAACAGGCAAUGUAAGGUAGCACAGGACGAGCGUCCAUGGACGCCUAACACUUGAUCCGCCGAAGGAGAAUAAUUCGCAAUGAUAGCAAAAUAGUUACAAGCUAAGGAU
RNAcentral lists this small RNA (168 nucleotides) under Scyphosphaera apsteinii. RNAcentral's name for it is "partial Betaproteobacteria transfer-messenger RNA". The record is from RNAcentral. Lineage: Eukaryota; Haptophyta; Coccosphaerales; Pontosphaeraceae.